RNAcentral lists this ribosomal RNA (618 nucleotides) under Acinetobacter baumannii. RNAcentral's name for it is "bacterial SSU rRNA". It matches the Rfam family "Bacterial small subunit ribosomal RNA", at positions 374 to 982 of the family's 1533-position model. Lineage: Bacteria; Pseudomonadati; Pseudomonadota; Gammaproteobacteria; Moraxellales; Moraxellaceae. The record is from RNAcentral.
GGGGGAACCCUGAUCCAGCCAUGCCGCGUGUGUGAAGAAGGCCUUAUGGUUGUAAAGCACUUUAAGCGAGGAGGAGGCUACUGAGACUAAUACUCUUGGAUAGUGGACGUUACUCGCAGAAUAAGCACCGGCUAACUCUGUGCCAGCAGCCGCGGUAAUACAGAGGGGUGCGAGCGUUAAUCGGAUUUACUGGGCGUAAAGCGUGCGUAGGCGGCUGAUUAAGUCGGAUGUGAAAUCCCUGAGCUUAACUUAGGAAUUGCAUUCGAUACUGGUCAGCUAGAGUAUGGGAGAGGAUGGUAGAAUUCCAGGUGUAGCGGUGAAAUGCGUAGAGAUCUGGAGGAAUAGCGAUGGCGAAGGCAGCCAUCUGGCCUAAUACUGACGCUGAGGUACGAAAGCAUGGGGAGCAAACAGGAUUAGAUACCCUGGUAGUCCAUGCCGUAAACGAUGUCUACUAGCCGUUGGGGCCUUUGAGGCUUUAGUGGCGCAGCUAACGCGAUAAGUAGACCGCCUGGGGAGUACGGUCGCAAGACUAAAACUCAAAUGAAUUGACGGGGGCCCGCACAAGCGGUGGAGCAUGUGGUUUAAUUCGAUGCAACGCGAAGAACCUUACCUGGCCUG